Molecule: non-coding RNA, 31 nt
Filed under: Rattus norvegicus (Norway rat)
Lineage: Eukaryota; Metazoa; Chordata; Mammalia; Rodentia; Muridae
Source: RNAcentral
UUUUUUGAGGAAUCUUGGGAUGUUGUAUGGU